UACGUAGGUGGCGAGCGUUGUCCGGAAUUACUGGGUGUAAAGCGCGUGUAGGCGGGAGGCCAAGUCUGUGGUGAAAUCGCUCGGCUUAACUGGGCGGGGUCCAUGGAAACUGGUCACCUGGAGGUCGGUAGAGGCAAGUGGAAUUCCCGGUGUAGUGGUGAAAUGCGUAGAGAUCGGGAGGAACACCAGUGGCGAAGGCGGCUUGCUGGGCCGGACC
RNAcentral lists this ribosomal RNA (217 nucleotides) under uncultured bacterium. Its description in RNAcentral is "partial 16S ribosomal RNA". It matches the Rfam family "Bacterial small subunit ribosomal RNA", at positions 524 to 740 of the family's 1533-position model. The record is from RNAcentral.